GAGGGUGGUUACACAGCCUGGCCCCGCCUCCUGCAGCCCCCUCGUGGGGGGGGGGGCGCUCUGGGCAGCCCCUCCCCCAGCCUGGGUGGACAGGCUAGGACGGAAGGCACCCGAAGCAGAGCUCCACCCCUGUGCCCUCAUCCACGUCAGGCCAAGUCCUCCCUGUGCCCGAGACCCUAAAUCCUGGAGCCCUGUCUGCACUAGGCACCCAAGGCCCUUCCCCGCCUGCCACCGGGCCCGCUCUACCCCGGUGGCUGGGAGAGGCCACCCUUCCAGAGGCAGGUCCUCAGGGAGCCUGUGGUAAGCAGGUGCCGUUGUGGGACUGUGGCGGUCACAGCCGCAGCCCCCCAGCCCCCACUGCACCCCUCAGUGCCAGCUGGCUCUCUAGCCCAUGAGUGUGCCCAGAAACCGGAAUGUGGGUAAAAUCUCCGUUUUAAAGCUAGCAGCAAAUGAAAAGGUUGCUGAACGGGCACAGAGCUCCACACUGGGAACGCGAGACAGUUCUGCGGAUGGACGUGCUAGGUGCAGCUGAAUGUCACUAAGAUGGCACGGGUCACUGCUCUCUGGCACACAUUGGAAGCGACUCCCUGAGAAUCCAGGAAUUUGGGGUCAAAUCCAAGGCCUGACUCUGUCCUUCAAAACCUGAGCUGGCUGGACCUCUCCAUCCCCUUGUCCAGGCCCUGGGGCGCAGAGGGCACUGGAGGCUCCACCUGGCCUGCCGCAUCCAUCCCCAGUCCUGCCACUUGCCCAGGUCACCCAAGGUUCUGCUGACUGAGCUGCUUACCUCAACUGUAAACACGGGGCGAGUGUGCACCAUCCUGCCAUCGGGGGCGUUUUCGAUCCCCGCAGAGGCCGAGGGGGUGCCCAGGAUGCCCCUCGUGACCUCUGAGGACGUUUCUGGUGCUCCAGGAAGACAGCCUACCUCCCUGUAACCCAGAGAGCUGACACACCCACCUGAAGCAGGGCGCCUGGCCUGCAGGGCAGCCCCAAGCCAGCAGGACCCUCACAGCGACCUGGUCCCAGACCUAGAAUCAGGUUCCCAAAGCGUCCUCACAGAAACUUCGAACCCCACGUGAACAAGCUCUGCACCCCACAACCUGUGCGAUGACUCAGCAGCCUCUGCCUCCCCCUCCUCCCCUCGUGGCAGAAGCAAACAUGGCGGCCAUGUGCCUGCUGAGGAACAGUGGCUCCUUGUAGCACUCUCCAGACCAUGGGGGCCAGGGAGCCAUCCGUGAGAGCCGUGGACAGUGCUUCCAGGGAGGCGCCUUGAAACGGGGUCAGACAACAGGAACCCUCUCUCUGCAGGUCCCUCCGAAAGGAGGACGUGGGUCUGCAGCCAACCACCAACCUCAGAGCUUGCCAGGCACAACACCUCAAAGGGCGAUCUCCUGGUGUCUUGUGCUGUCAACGAACUUUUUAAGCUUACGAAUUAGAGUGCUGUAUGGGCCAGGACACGGGUGUGGCGGGGGGGGGGGCGGGGGGGUGGAGGGGUACAUGGCAUGUGCUGGAAGUAUGAGCAGCCAGGUUGUGCUAUCUGCACUCUCCUCUCGCCUCGGGAUGGAGGGACAGCCCUGCGUCCCCUGGGAACACAUUCCUGCUGCCCUGGGCCACCUACUUCUGCCCCAGAGCCACAGCUCCUCCCUGCUGGGACUCAGGGACUGGCUAGGGGCAGCACCACAGCACUGAGCGCCUCAAGAAACACCCAGGGUCCUGAGAAAGGAGAGCACUAAGGCCAAGUGCCUGCAAUUCAUUCCAUGGACUGGUUUCCAGGCUUCUGGUGCUCGCCAAGUUUGACGUUAUCAAACUCACAUCUGGGACAGAUGAUGCGCUGUGACUCUGGUGGCCGCCAGCGAGAGACAGCACCAGGAGAGCACUUCCCGAGAAGCACAACCUCACCAGGAGACUGAGACAGACAGACGAAUGAGUGCAGGCAGGCCGGUCAAGGCUCUGGUAAAGACCCCGGGGCCCUUGAACGUGUUCCUCAGCAGCCCUGGUGCUCAGCACAGUGCCCAGCCCUGAACUGCCAGUGACCCACAGACAUCUAGGGAUAGACCAACCCCGGCUCUCAGCCUCACUAGAAGGGUCAGGAAUGGAGCUCCUCUGCGGCUAACGGGACCACCGGAGCCAGGCAGUGCUGAGCGGAGCUGAGGCACACAGCAGGUGCGGCGGCCCUGGCAGCCCCAUCUGCCUCCGAUGUCCGAGGGACGUGGUGCUUGUGCCCAGCAGCAAAUCCAAGGAGGGUCUUCACGCAUCAGAGCAAGACGCCCGCCUAGCUAUGGUGCAUCUCAGAUACGUGACCCCAAAUGUCACUGACAAAUGAAGCCCAGAAUACAGUCCGUGAGAGAAGCAAGAAUGCUGGAAAGGCAGAGGUGCCGAGCAAGGUUUAGAACGAGAGCUGGGUAGACCAGGCCUGGCUACCUGGCAGUACCUGGGAGUGCUCACCAGCACGCCAGCACAACAGACCCCUCUCCGCUCCACAGCCCUCCAGUCAGCAUGGACAGGCUGCUCACUGGUACCCAUCCCACGAAGAUGAAACUGAAACAUUUCUUCCUUUUCCUUCCUUCCUCAUAUGAAUAAAAGUGUUUCUGUAAAAUCCU
This is a long non-coding RNA of Canis lupus familiaris (dog), 2597 nucleotides long. RefSeq lists it as uncharacterized. The transcript is spliced from 5 exons. The record is from RefSeq and is a predicted model, not a curated record. Lineage: Eukaryota; Metazoa; Chordata; Mammalia; Carnivora; Canidae.